CCUACGGGAGGCAGCAGUGAGGAAUAUUGGUCAAUGGACGAGAGUCUGAACCAGCCAAGUAGCGUGAAGGAUGACUGCCCUAUGGGUUGUAAACUUCUUUUAUAUGGGAAUAAAAUGUUCCACGUGUGGGAUUUUGUAUGUACCAUAUGAAUAAGGAUCGGCUAACUCCGUGCCAUCAGCCGCGGUAAUACGGAGGAUCCGAGCGUUAUCCGGAUUUAUUGGGUUUAAAGGGAGCGUAGGUGGAUUGUUAAGUCAGUUGUGAAAGUUUGCGGCUCAACCGUAAAAUUGCAGUUGAAACGGGCAGUCUUGAGUACAGUAGAGGUGGGCGGAAUUCGUGGUGUAGCUGUGAAAUGCUUAGAUAUCACGAAGAACUCCGAUUGCGAAGGCAGCUCACUGGACUGCAACUGACACUGAGGCUCGAAAGUGUGGGUAUCAAACAGGAUUAGAUACCCCAGUAGUC
Molecule: ribosomal RNA, 460 nt
Filed under: uncultured bacterium
Lineage: Bacteria
Description: partial 16S ribosomal RNA
Rfam family: Bacterial small subunit ribosomal RNA
Source: RNAcentral